CUGGCCAAGAAAGCUUCCCUCUUCACCUGCUGCAGAACAGAGCUCAGAGAGGCAGCGUUUCCCUUCCGUUCCCCUGCGCCUAUCCCCGUUUCUUUCCCUUCUUCCCCUUUCCCACUGAUUUUCUCCCAGCCACCUACUAGUUCAUUUUCCCUCCAUUUUCUUUUUAAAUUCAGAAUUGCAUUUUAUUUCCCCCCAAACUGGUGGGCUCCCCUCUCCCUUGGAAAAUGCUACGAUGUCUGUGGUUUGCUAGUGAGCAAAAGGUGGAUGCCUCCAGGAGCAGAACAGCUGGUGGCAUAAGGUAAGGGGGUGGCUCAAAUUGCAUAACCCAUUCGCUAAGAGGAUGAGUGACUGAGUCAUUUCACAAAGAGAGCUGACCCCUUAGUACUCUGAUCACAAAGCCUAGAGGUUGACAAUAACAUAUGUUUUGUAAAUGUAAUGCCAAACAAACAAAGAAGAGGAACUCCCUCUUGCUGAACGGGACUGCUGUUUUCUUCCUCCUUAUUACAGUUCCUUUAGGUGAAAGGCCCAUGGCAUGCUGUAUGACAACUCCUGUUCACAUGGGAAUUGGAGAACAAGGCCAGGUCUUGGAUAUGCCCAUAUGGCACUGACUAAACCAACAGUUGUUACAUAUUUGCAUCCAAAAGCAAUAUUUGGCUUCAUUAACCAGAGCCCGCUGUCUGCAGUCCUGAGCUCCACCUUUCAAGAUGGAGAAUGACUUUUGAUCUCUGAAGCCGCACCCCACAUCUUCCUGUAACAAUAGCAGCUGCUUCACACAAGAUUGGCCAGCUGAACAC
Long non-coding RNA from Chrysemys picta bellii (western painted turtle), 794 nucleotides. RefSeq lists it as uncharacterized. Lineage: Eukaryota; Metazoa; Chordata; Testudines; Emydidae. The record is from RefSeq and is a predicted model, not a curated record.